GGUUCUGUGUUCUAGUGGUUAGGAACCUCGUUUUUGAUGCGAGUAGCCCCGGUUCGAACCCGGGCAGGACCU
Molecule: non-coding RNA, 72 nt
Organism: Talaromyces islandicus
Lineage: Eukaryota; Fungi; Ascomycota; Eurotiomycetes; Eurotiales; Trichocomaceae
Source: the annotation of a GenBank genome assembly